RNAcentral lists this ribosomal RNA (301 nucleotides) under uncultured bacterium. RNAcentral describes it as "partial 16S ribosomal RNA". It matches the Rfam family "Bacterial small subunit ribosomal RNA", at positions 509 to 807 of the family's 1533-position model. The record is from RNAcentral.
CAGUAGCCACGGUAAUACGGAGGGUGCAAGCGUUAAUCGGAAUUACUGGGCGUAAAGCGCACGCAGGCGGUCUGUCAAGUCGGAUGUGAAAUCCCCGGGCUCAACCUGGGAACUGCAUUCGAAACUGGCAGGCUAGAGUCUUGUAGAGGGGGGUAGAAUUCCAGGUGUAGCGGUGAAAUGCGUAGAGAUCUGGAGGAAUACCGGUGGCGAAGGCGGCCCCCUGGACAAAGACUGACGCUCAGGUGCGAAAGCGUGGGGAGCAAACAGGAUUAGAUACCCCUGUAGUCCCUGUCUCUUAUAC